CAAUGUGAGGGCAAUCUGGCUGUGACAUCUGUCACCCCAUUGAUCGCCAGGGUUGAGUUGGCUGAUCUGAAAGGCUAGGCAGGUGUCCACCUCCUCCCUUACCCUUCCAUGUGUGUCCCUACAGAAGCUGCAUGCUGGGUAGAAGAGGACAACCAUCCCCGAUAGAGGAGGACCGUUCUUUGGGCAAUGGUAUGUGAGUAGCUGCGCUACCCUGCUAGAACCUCCAAACAAGCCCUCAAGAAAGCAUUUUUACUUUCUAUGGCUAUAGAUUGGAAAGAGGGAUAAUUGGUAUAAAUACUUUUUAAGAGUUUUUGUGAGAAACUACCUGGUUCA
This is an unclassified non-coding RNA of 333 nucleotides. Its record names the gene 7SK. It matches the Rfam family "7SK RNA". Rfam says of the family: 7SK was discovered as an abundant small nuclear RNA in the mid-70s but a possible function has only recently been suggested. The record is from Ensembl.